RNAcentral lists this ribosomal RNA (253 nucleotides) under uncultured bacterium. Its description in RNAcentral is "partial 16S ribosomal RNA". It matches the Rfam family "Bacterial small subunit ribosomal RNA", at positions 524 to 776 of the family's 1533-position model. The record is from RNAcentral.
UACGUAGGCAGCGAGCGUUGUUCGGAGUUACUGGGCGUAAAGAGUGCGUAGGCGGUUUUCUAAGUUUGGUGUGAAAUCUCCCGGCUUAACUGGGAGGGUGCGCCGAAAACUGGAAGGCUUGAGUAUGGGAGAGGUAAGCGGAAUUCCUGGUGUAGCGGUGAAAUGCGUAGAUAUCAGGAGGAACACCCGUAGCGAAGGCGGCACUCUGGGCCGAUACUGACACUGAGGAGCGAAAGCGUGGGGAGCGAACAGG